Molecule: long non-coding RNA, 346 nt
Organism: Sphaerodactylus townsendi
Lineage: Eukaryota; Metazoa; Chordata; Lepidosauria; Squamata; Sphaerodactylidae
Exons: 2
Source: RefSeq, a predicted model, not a curated record
GAAGACACUCAGGAGAUAGCAGUGCAUUUUAGAGAGCGGACCAGCAACUCCCGAGGAAAUCGCGCUUCUCCACCCUUCCCGUGAAAGGACACUUAACUCAGUAGGCUCUGUCAUCAAGUGUAACCGACCCUGCAAGUUCUUUGUUUGCUGAUGUUUUGGAUAGUCCUGAUUCUGUUGGCUGAACUAUGGAACCUUCAAGCAAAGGGCAAGCCCUCUGAUAGAUAGGUCUCAGGGGCAACCAUAUGUGCCAGUCUGUUGCUUUUGGUCAAACACAUGCUCAAUAUUUUCUUACUCAAUAUUUUCUUUCUCAAUGUUGGGCUUGCCAGAAUAAAACUCUCUAAAAGAA